This 460-nucleotide ribosomal RNA is filed under the name uncultured bacterium. Its description in RNAcentral is "partial 16S ribosomal RNA". It matches the Rfam family "Bacterial small subunit ribosomal RNA", at positions 338 to 795 of the family's 1533-position model. The record is from RNAcentral.
CCUACGGGAGGCUGCAGUGAGGAAUCUUGGUCAAUGUACGCACGUCUGAACCAGCCAUGCCUCGUGCAGGUUGACGGCUCUCUGAGUUGUACACUGCUUUUGUACGAGGGUAAUAUCACAUACGUGUAUCUGCUUGAAAGUAUCGUACGAAUAAGGAUCGGCUAACUCCGUGCCAGCAGCCGCGGUAAUACGGAGGAUCCAAGCGUUAUCCGGAUUUAUUGGGUUUAAAGGGUGCGUAGGCGGUUGUAUAAGUUAGAUGUGAAAAUUCGGGGCGCAACCACGGACGUGCCUGUAAAACUGUAUGACUAGAGAAGAGAUGCGGUAGGCGGAAGGUAUGGUGUAGCGGGGAAAUGCGUAGAGAUCAUACAGAACACCGAUUGCGAAGGCAGCUUACCAAACUAUAUCUGACGUUGAGGCACGAAAGCGUGGGGAGCAAACAGGAUUAGAUACCCUUGUAGUC